Geitlerinema sp. PCC 7407 is the source of this 72-nucleotide transfer RNA. It matches the Rfam family "tRNA". From Rfam's summary of the family: Transfer RNA (tRNA) molecules are approximately 80 nucleotides in length. Their secondary structure includes four short double-helical elements and three loops (D, anti-codon, and T loops). Further hydrogen bonds mediate the characteristic L-shaped molecular structure. tRNAs have two regions of fundamental functional importance: the anti-codon, which is responsible for specific mRNA codon recognition, and the 3' end, to which the tRNAs corresponding amino acid is attached (by aminoacyl-tRNA synthetases). tRNAs cope with the degeneracy of the genetic code in two manners: having more than one tRNA (with a specific anti-codon) for a particular amino acid; and 'wobble' base-pairing, i.e. permitting non-standard base-pairing at the 3rd anti-codon position. The record is from Rfam. NCBI's taxonomy places the organism in Bacteria, Bacillati, Cyanobacteriota, Cyanophyceae, Geitlerinematales, Geitlerinemataceae.
GCGGGUAUAGUUCAGUGGUAGAACGUCAGCUUCCCAAGCUGAAUGUCGUCGGUUCGAGUCCGAUUACCCGCU